RNAcentral lists this ribosomal RNA (618 nucleotides) under Gordonia didemni. Its description in RNAcentral is "bacterial SSU rRNA". It matches the Rfam family "Bacterial small subunit ribosomal RNA", at positions 79 to 711 of the family's 1533-position model. The record is from RNAcentral. Lineage: Bacteria; Bacillati; Actinomycetota; Actinomycetes; Mycobacteriales; Gordoniaceae.
CUUGCUGGGUACUCGAGUGGCGAACGGGUGAGUAACACGUGGGUGAUCUGCCCUGCACUCUGGGAUAAGCCUGGGAAACUGGGUCUAAUACCGGAUAUGACCAACUGUCGCAUGGUGGUUGGUGGAAAGCUUUUGCGGUGUGGGAUGGGCCCGCGGCCUAUCAGCUUGUUGGUGGGGUAAUGGCCUACCAAGGCGACGACGGGUAGCCGACCUGAGAGGGUGAUCGGCCACACUGGGACUGAGACACGGCCCAGACUCCUACGGGAGGCAGCAGUGGGGAAUAUUGCACAAUGGGCGCAAGCCUGAUGCAGCGACGCCGCGUGAGGGAUGACGGCCUUCGGGUUGUAAACCUCUUUCACCAGGGACGAAGCGGAAGUGACGGUACCUGGAGAAGAAGCACCGGCCAACUACGUGCCAGCAGCCGCGGUAAUACGUAGGGUGCGAGCGUUGUCCGGAAUUACUGGGCGUAAAGAGCUCGUAGGCGGUUUGUCGCGUCGUCUGUGAAAUUCUGCAACUCAAUUGCAGGCGUGCAGGCGAUACGGGCAGACUUGAGUACUACAGGGGAGACUGGAAUUCCUGGUGUAGCGGUGAAAUGCGCAGAUAUCAGGAGGAACACCG